AGAAUCCUUCCUGCUUCUCAAACUCAAGAUAAUGUAGGCAGAAAGGAUGUGAUGAGAGAUGUUUAACUGCAGUUUUCAUUUCUUAUUCCUGAGUAAUGUCACCUCCCUCCCACUUCUCUGGGCGCAGAGACAUCCGUCAAAUGCCCACAGCAAGUUCGUCAUGAAAUGCCUUCUGACAGGAAUGGCAGCUUGCAGCCCACAGCUAUGAAGGAUGUUAUGAAGAUCAGCGCGAGGACAGUACAUGGGGCAAAUGCUGAGGGCUUGCGGCCGUGUCUGUGCUGUUA
Molecule: long non-coding RNA, 284 nt
Filed under: Gallus gallus (chicken)
Lineage: Eukaryota; Metazoa; Chordata; Aves; Galliformes; Phasianidae
Description: long non-coding RNA NONGGAT004159
Source: RNAcentral